This 468-nucleotide ribosomal RNA is filed under the name uncultured bacterium. Its description in RNAcentral is "partial 16S ribosomal RNA". It matches the Rfam family "Bacterial small subunit ribosomal RNA", at positions 28 to 507 of the family's 1533-position model. The record is from RNAcentral.
GACGAACGCUGGCGGCGUGCUUAACACAUGCAAGUCGAACGGAAAGGCCCUGCUUUUGUGGGGUGCUCGAGUGGCGAACGGGUGAGUAACACGUGAGUAACCUGCCCUUGACUUUGGGAUAACUUCAGGAAACUGGGGCUAAUACCGGAUAGGAGCUCCUGCUGCAUGGUGGGGGUUGGAAAGUUUCGGCGGUUGGGGAUGGACUCGCGGCUUAUCAGCUUGUUGGUGGGGUAGUGGCUUACCAAGGCUUUGACGGGUAGCCGGCCUGAGAGGGUGACCGGCCACAUUGGGACUGAGAUACGCCCCAGACUCCUACGGGAGGCAGCAGUGGAGAAUAUUGCACAAUGGGCGGAAGCCUGAUGCAGCAACGCCGCGUGCGGGAUGACGGCCUUCGGGUUGUAAACCGCUUUCGCCUGUGACGAAGCGUGAGUGACGGUAAUGGGUAAAGAAGCACCGGCUAACUACGUG